This 253-nucleotide ribosomal RNA is filed under the name uncultured bacterium. Its description in RNAcentral is "partial 16S ribosomal RNA". It matches the Rfam family "Bacterial small subunit ribosomal RNA", at positions 524 to 776 of the family's 1533-position model. The record is from RNAcentral.
UACGUAGGGUGCAAGCGUUAUCCGGAAUCACUGGGUUUAAAGGGUGCGUAGGCGGCUUAGUAAGUCAGUUGUGAAAGACUGUGGCUUAACCAUGGAAUUGCCAUUGAUACUGCUGAGCUUGAAUCAGGUUGAGGUUGGCGGAAUGUGACAUGUAGCGGUGAAAUGCUUAGAUAUGUCAUGGAACACCGAUUGCGAAGGCAGCUGACUGGACCUGUAUUGACGCUGAGGCACGAAAGCGUGGGGAGCGAACAGG